ACGAACGCUGGCGGCGUGCUUAACACAUGCCAGUCGAACGCUGAAGCUUGGUGCUUGCACUGGGUGGAUGAGUGGCGAACGGGUGAGUAAUACGUGAGUAACCUGCCCUUGACUCUGGGAUAAGCCUGGGAAACUGGGUCUAAUACUGGAUACGACAUGUCACCGCAUGGUGGUGUGUGGAAAGGGUUUUACUGGUUUUGGAUGGGCUCACGGCCUAUCAGCUUGUUGGUGUGGUAAUGGCUCACCAAGGCGACGACGGGUAGCCGGCCUGAGAGGGUGACCGGCCACACUGGGACUGAGACACGGCCCAGACUCCUACGGGAGGCAGCAGUGGGGAAUAUUGCACAAUGGGCGGAAGCCUGAUGCAGCGACGCCGCGUGAGGGAUGACGGCCUUCGGGUUGUAAACCUCUUUCAGCACGGAAGAAGCGAAAGUGACGGUACGUGCAGAAGAAGCGCCGGCUAACUACGUG
RNAcentral lists this ribosomal RNA (471 nucleotides) under uncultured bacterium. Its description in RNAcentral is "partial 16S ribosomal RNA". It matches the Rfam family "Bacterial small subunit ribosomal RNA", at positions 29 to 507 of the family's 1533-position model. The record is from RNAcentral.